RNAcentral lists this ribosomal RNA (439 nucleotides) under uncultured bacterium. RNAcentral describes it as "partial 16S ribosomal RNA". It matches the Rfam family "Bacterial small subunit ribosomal RNA", at positions 339 to 795 of the family's 1533-position model. The record is from RNAcentral.
CUACGGGCGGCAGCAGUGGGGAAUAUUGCACAAUGGAGGAAACUCUGAUGCAGCAACGCCGCGUGGAGGAUGACACUUUUCGGAGCGUAAACUCCUUUUAUAUAGGAAGAAGAUGACGGUACUAUAUGAAUAAGCGCCGGCUAACUCCGUGCCAGCAGCCGCGGUAAUACGGAGGGCGCAAGCGUUACUCGGAAUCACUGGGCGUAAAGAGCGUGUAGGCGGAUUAAAAAGUCAGAAGUGAAAUCCUAUAGCUUAACUAUAGAACUGCUUCUGAAACUCUUAAUCUAGAAUAUGGGAGAGGGAGAUGGAAUUUCUGGUGUAGGGGUAAUAUCCGUAGAGAUCAGAAGGAAUACCGAUUGCGAAGGCGAUCUACUAGAACAUUAUUGACGCUGAGACGCGAAAGCGUGGGGAGCAAACAGGAUUAGAUACCCGCGUAGUC